RNAcentral lists this ribosomal RNA (482 nucleotides) under uncultured bacterium. Its description in RNAcentral is "partial 16S ribosomal RNA". It matches the Rfam family "Bacterial small subunit ribosomal RNA", at positions 30 to 507 of the family's 1533-position model. The record is from RNAcentral.
AUUGAACGCUGGCGGCAUGCUUUACACAUGCCAGUCGAACGGUAACAGGCUGCAAGGUGCUGACGAGUGGCGGACGGGUGAGUAAUGCAUCGGAACGUGCCCAGUCGUGGGGGAUAACUACUCGACAGAGUAGCUAAUACCGCAUCCGAUCUAUGGAUGAAAGCGGGGGACCGUAAGGCCUCGUGCGAUUGGAGCGGCCGAUGUCAGAUUAGGUAGUUGGUGGGGUAAAGGCUCACCAAGCCAACGAUCUGUAGCUGGUCUGAGAGGACGACCAGCCACACUGGGACUGAGACACGGCCCAGACUCCUACGGGAGGCAGCAGUGGGGAAUUUUGGACAAUGGGCGCAAGCCUGAUCCAGCAAUGCCGCGUGCAGGAAGAAGGCCUUCGGGUUGUAAACUGCUUUUGUACGGAACGAAACGGCUCUGGUUAAUACCCGGGGCUAAUGACGGUACCGUAAGAAUAAGCACCGGCUAACUACGUG